Molecule: transfer RNA, 65 nt
Filed under: Fundulopanchax scheeli
Lineage: Eukaryota; Metazoa; Chordata; Actinopteri; Cyprinodontiformes; Nothobranchiidae
Description: tRNA-Cys
Source: RNAcentral
AGCCUUGAGGCGUUUACAUGUAUGAUUGCAAAUCAUAAGUAGCAGGUUAAUCCCUGCCAGGGCUU